Solea senegalensis (Senegalese sole) is the source of this 4201-nucleotide long non-coding RNA. RefSeq lists it as uncharacterized. The transcript has 5 exons. NCBI's taxonomy places the organism in Eukaryota, Metazoa, Chordata, Actinopteri, Pleuronectiformes, Soleidae. The record is from RefSeq and is a predicted model, not a curated record.
CUGGUGUGUACUGUAGCACAAUAGCCUUUUUCAAUUUCCAAAUUACUUCAUAGGAAACGGGUGCUGACCAGCUGGUACCUUAUGUUUAUCCGGGCCUUGGCUCACUAGACCAGGAACGGCAGGAAACCCAGACAACAGUUUUACACAGUUUUUUGGGUUAUGGAAACUGUCUCGUGUUGACCAGCUGAGAGCGACUGAUGAUGACCUGUUUCUCUUCACCACAUGUGUCGCAUAAAAACAAAACCUUGUCUAAUCACAUCAUUUUUUUGUUUUUUGACAGUGGUGAGCAGAGCAGCUAUGACAAUUGAAUCCAGGCUGGAGUGGGGCAAAUGGUUAUACACUGGAAAGCAUGGCGUGGCCGCACCCUGAUUUAUUCUUUAUUCCUCUAUUUCUCCAUGUAAAUAUGGAGCCAUUGAGCAUCAACUGAAUUCUGCAGCUGGUUAUAGCGUGGGGCUCAACACGGAGAUGAGGAGAUACCAUUGGGAGACCACACAAUACCACACUGGUUCCUGACACAUGGAUCUACUUAUAUAAAAUAAAAAUGGGAAAGCUAUCACGACAGUAGGUGAUAAGCAUCGGCCAGAUGCUUGGAAACACAAGCGAGAGGUAAGAGGGAGAAGGUUGUUGCCGAGUACACACUCUUCCUUCACAGCCAUGUCUUGUUUGUACACCAGGGAGAUGGCAGCAUCUCAUGUUUCACCAUGCUCUUGUCGCCACCACUCUUGUCUGUUGCUGUCAUCCUCAUAUAUCCACUUGUUAAGAACAGCACGUGCAGUUGGACGGCUUUGUAUCCGUCAGGCGCUGCGACAAACAAGCGGAAAAAGGGGGAAUAAAUCACAACUGCAGAGUUCUGCUGUAGGAUCUGCCUACCUCUGGUUAUUUCAUGUGCCAUUCUUUGUCUCACCCGCCGUCCCCCCCCCUCCUCUCUGCCUCUCAAAUAAUGUAACAUGAUUCCAACUUGAUGUCUAUCACAGUCCUCAUUACACCCCUGUUGGCCUUUCGCAGACCCACAUAUCCUCUUGUCUCAGAUGGACCUUGUCUCCCUCCCUCUCUCCCUCCUCCCUCCACUCUUCUCCACCAUUUCCAUUUUUCAUAGAAAGCCUCUCCCGUGAACAGAUGAGGUGGCUCUUGUGGUUUUAAAAAGGUCAAGCUUCUCGUAGUGGCAGAAAUGUGACUUGAUACCUAUAGAACUACAGCAAACUAGCACAGCCGUGUUACAUUUGGACAUCGUGUGGCUGCUGCAAUGAUGACAAGAAUCAUUUGUUCAAAGGAAGUAGCUGCUCAAGUGGGUGAAGAGAAGAAGAAAGCGAUGGAAUUUUAAAGUGAUGCCUGUGAUGCACAAACAGCAGCAUUGAGCGCUUACUUAGGCUUGCAGAAAUAAGCAAAGAAUAAAGGUAACCAUGGGUCACAUAGUUCUAAAUGAAAAGACAGUAAAGUGCGUCAGAAAAAACAAAGUAACAGAUAUAGUGCAUCUAAAGCAACUCCCUCCUCAAACAUGUUCUCUAAACUCUGUAAACUUGCAGUCGAAGGCUCAGCAAUCAAAGUCCUCACUCAGAAGUUUGAAUGGUUUGUGAUGAUGAUUAGUUGACCACAUUGCAAAGCGGUGGAGUGGGUGCAGAUGUGGCUAAUUCCAGUGGUACGCGGAAUGCUGAUUGUGUGGUACAAAGUGCUAGCAGCUAAUCAAUACAGUGAACAUGGCUAGCCCUCCUUUAUGCAUUGGAGGGCUGUGAGCACCUGUGACUGCGGCUCAUUGCAGCUUGAUUAUCAUCAGAGCUAAUCUGUUCCCUUGCAUUUCAAAAACUCUCCAAGUAGAGGGCUUGGGGUGUUGUUAAAUAGAUGAUCACAACUCUGUACACAGCGGGGACAAUUAUUCAGGAGUGAAACUUUAUAUGAUAGAUUGUUAAAGAUGUUCUAUCUUGUGAUGCCGAAGUCUUGCAACAGCCUUGUGAAGAGAAUUCAUUCUUUACUCGGCGGUGAGUAUAUCAGAUAUGUGAUCUCGCACACUACAUUGAUAUAUAUCUAGACAGCUGAUAGGUAGACAGACACAUAAAAAAAAAAACUCUACAAACAUGAAAUAUGAAAAGUAGACUCUGUGUUAUUCACCGAUGAAGACUUUCUGUGUGGAGUUUGAAUGUUCUCCCCUUUUGCAGGUGUGUUUCCUCCAGGUACUCUGACUGUACCUGUGAAAGUGAGAGUGAAUGAUCGUUUGUCUCUGUGUUGGACAUGUCCAGGGUGUGUGUGUGUAGACCUCCUUUUGCCCCAUGUCUGCUUGAAUUGCCUCCAAGCAGGCACCUCCAUCCCUUAACCCUCUUGUGGAGGAUAGAGCGCUAAAACAGGAUACAAAAUAUUAAGAAUUUAGUGUCGGUUUAGAUAGAUUAGAUCACAUUUAGAUUAAAACAAACUUUAUUUAUCCAUCGCUCAAACACUGUAUUGUCAGUUUCAUCGCAAGGAUAAAACUAUAUGGUGACAGUAUCAAAAACUCACCCAUGAUGCUGAUGUGGACUGUUGUGGUGCACGUGAGGGAAUAACGAUUGGAUAUAGCCCAGUGUGUGUGUGUGGAAGAUACUUGGUGAGUUCUGAAAGUAUGUGUUUCUUUAAAUUCAAGCUUUUAUUUGCAUUGUUGGUUGUUGGUUAGAUCUGGAAUUAGUCCCAGAGGGUUAGUCGUCAAAAAGAUCCAGCAAAGUGAAUUGUGUGAGUAACGCAAUACUAUUGGCCAUGAGGGAAGGAAUUCCGUUUGUGACACACACACAAAUGCCCAAAUGUUACCAAUGGUCUGUAAUAAGGAUGGGUUAAACACAGAGGUCAGAGGUCAGAGGUGUUCUUCUCUUCUAUUACCACCUCUCAAUACAGUCAAACAGAGCCUCAAGCAACUAUAGUGUGUCCAUCUUUCCACAGCUGUGUGGAUUUCACAAGCUACUCAGAUACUAUUAACACCAUGCACUGGACUUGUCACAUCAGUUUUAUUGUAUUUGGAUAACAUUAGUUCUUUAUUACUAAAUGCUUUUCUACAGGUUUGUGUAAAACAUCAAUAGUGUUGUUAUAGGCAGACUUGUGAUUCCUCUUUGAAGAAUGUAAAGGAAUACAAUUUGAAUAGCGCAACAAAAAGUGCCUUUAUACAUCAUGUACAAUAAUGUAUUGCCAUCAGACGUUUCCUAUGUGAAGACAGUGCUCACGGCUAUCAUUCCGCACGCUUUGUUUUUUUCCCCCUCUGUUGAAGCACGAGACAGGCCACAUGAAUGGCCUCAUUAAUGCAGAAACGAUUUCUUUCAAAUCAAAAGAAACACCUCACCUAAUGUAAUGACAACCUCUUGCUUCCUUGCCUCUGGUGCUUUUCUUUUACUCAUCACAGGAAAGGAGGUCAUGAAGGUUUUGGGCGUACAGUAAAACACGGUGUAGAGUUAACCAGUGGAUGUGGUGAAGUCGACUUUGAUUGGCAGCGCACUGCUACAGCAAACCAAGCCACACUUAAUCUGUUGUGGAAUCAAGAUAUAUCACAAUUGAUGACAUAUCAACACACUACGUUGCAUUUCUCAGCAAAACAAAAGAUGGUCACCUGUUAUGGGAGUCUGUGCUCAAACCACUGAUGGUUAGCCUCUGUGGCUGGAGUCCUAAUUAAGCCAGCCUGGAAAUAUUGAGAGCCAGCCUCAUAAUGAUGCUAAUUGUUUGCUUCAACCCAGGAAAAGUGCAUCACGGGCAUAAUGGGAUAAUAAGAAGCUCUAAUGCCACCCCCAGAGGGACAGUUAAAGUAAAGGUCCACUGAGUUACAGAGCUAAUACAGCCUGCCUCUUAUUUCUGCAACUGUGUGGACUUUUGGCGGACAGCCGUCAGACUGACAGAGCAAAGUGGCCCACCUGCUCUGUGUUUGUCCGACAGAGGGAGAAGGAUAUAGUGCCUUUGUUUAAGACUGAAGAUUUAAUUAGAAGAUUACUAAUUCAUCCUGACAAAGCUUGUGUUACUUGAGUGCCUCGGGUUUUUGGAUUAAAACAUGUCUUUAAAUAUUUCCUCCCAUGUGCAUGUAAGUGGAUAGUCUGAGAUAAACAAAGUUAUCUAUGAAAGCUACAGUCAGUGAUUCAAGGAGACAUUCAAGACAAACGCAAUAAUACAGUAAGUUCCCAAUAAACACACGUUCACUAUUGUGCAUCAGAGUCUAACUCCUCGGCUCUGCGAGUGCAACGACCGAGUACACCUCCAAAUGUGAGAU